RNAcentral lists this ribosomal RNA (565 nucleotides) under uncultured bacterium. RNAcentral describes it as "bacterial SSU rRNA". It matches the Rfam family "Bacterial small subunit ribosomal RNA", at positions 313 to 878 of the family's 1533-position model. The record is from RNAcentral.
UUGGAACUGAGACACGGUCCAAACUCCUACGGGAGGCAGCAGUGAGGAAUAUUGGUCAAUGGGCGAGAGCCUGAACCAGCCAAGUAGCGUGAAGGAUGACUGCCCUAUGGGUUGUAAACUGCUUUUAUAAGGGAAUAAAGUGAGUCUCGUGAGACUUUUUGCAUGUACCUUAUGAAUAAGGACCGGCUAAUUCCGUGCCAGCAGCCGCGGUAAUACGGAAGGUCCGGGCGUUAUCCGGAUUUAUUGGGUUUAAAGGGAGCGUAGGCCGGAGAUUAAGCGUGUUGUGAAAUGUAGAUGCUCAACAUCUGAACUGCAGCGCGAACUGGUUUCCUUGAGUACGCACAAAGUGGGCGGAAUUCGUGGUGUAGCGGUGAAAUGCUUAGAUAUCACGAAGAACUCCGAUUGCGAAGGCAGCUCACUGGAGCGCAACUGACGCUGAAGCUCGAAAGUGCGGGUAUCGAACAGGAUUAGAUACCCUGGUAGUCCGCACGGUAAACGAUGGAUGCCCGCUGUUGGUCUGAAUAGGUCAGCGGCCAAGCGAAAGCAUUAAGCAUCCCACCUGGGG